This 45-nucleotide non-coding RNA is filed under the name Schistosoma curassoni. The record is from RNAcentral. Lineage: Eukaryota; Metazoa; Platyhelminthes; Trematoda; Strigeidida; Schistosomatidae.
AUCCGACUGACGAGUUUUAAAUGGGACUAAACAAGCGUCUUGGAU